Molecule: unclassified non-coding RNA, 718 nt
Filed under: Ixodes scapularis (black-legged tick)
Lineage: Eukaryota; Metazoa; Arthropoda; Arachnida; Ixodida; Ixodidae
Description: zinc finger protein 431-like, transcript variant X3
Source: RNAcentral
UGGUUAUACGCAGUUUUACGUUCGAAGAUCACUACUGAACAAACAGCAUCUCAAGUGGCCCCGUCUGUCCCUCUGGGCUUUACGAGACUCCCUACGAACCUGACCUUGGGCAGCAAUUCGAAUGGAACCAAUUCAGUCCUCAAGCCAUGGACUACUCCGUACAAGGUCACGGGCAGAGCACCAUGCGAGUUGUUGAUGGGAAGGAUGUUCAAGACGCCGUUGGAUGUCCUGCGUCCUAGCCUCCAAUCCUCAGUGCUGCUCAAGCAGCUAAAACAAAAAUUAUACUGAUAAAGGCUGCCGACAGGGACCACCGCUCAACCCUGAGGAGAACGUGUUCGCCAGGAACUUUCGCCAGGGUAUGCCCUGGGUGCCUGCUCGAGUCGUCGGCGCCUCAAGUCAAUCUCUUGUGCAAGUCCGCCUUGAAGAUGGCACACUGUGGCAUCGGCACGGUGAUCACUUGCGUUUCAGACUGAAUGACGCCACCACAGCAGCUACGGCCGAGGCAGAGACGUGUCAACCUGUUGGUGCUGCAGUGCAGUUGGAACCGGAAGUGUUAAAUAAGAGUCAAUCUGCUGGUGCUCCCGGCGCUCUGUUCGAGCCAGGCAAAACAAGCGUGGAUGCAAGCGACAGUGUCGCAAGCACUGAGGUGAUGGAGCCACAUUGUUGGGGGAGACCAGCUGCCCACUAAAAGUCGCCGAAAAUGUCUGGUUCGGAUGCU